GCGCGUACACACGGCCCGUUACUCUUACCGAGCCAUACUCAUACAAUACAUAAAAAAUUUUUCUCGGUAAAGGGGAGGCAAGUCGUAACAUGGUAAGUGUA
This 101-nucleotide ribosomal RNA is filed under the name Telmatherina bonti. RNAcentral's name for it is "partial 12S ribosomal RNA". Lineage: Eukaryota; Metazoa; Chordata; Actinopteri; Atheriniformes; Telmatherinidae. The record is from RNAcentral.